Non-coding RNA from Paramuricea clavata, 136 nucleotides. The record is from the annotation of a GenBank genome assembly. NCBI's taxonomy places the organism in Eukaryota, Metazoa, Cnidaria, Anthozoa, Malacalcyonacea, Plexauridae.
CAUAUGUAACAAACAGAACGGCUACGUUUGAAGAAGUUUAUUAAAAAAAGAUAUAUUAAAUACAAAAACUUUUGUAUUUAAUAUAUCUUUUUUUAAUAAACUUCUUCAAACGUAGCCGUUCUGUUUGUUACAUAUA